AUCUAGCUGACGAGUCCCAAAUAGAACGAAUCUCACGUCCCGGAU
This 45-nucleotide non-coding RNA is filed under the name Schistosoma mansoni. The record is from RNAcentral. Lineage: Eukaryota; Metazoa; Platyhelminthes; Trematoda; Strigeidida; Schistosomatidae.